This 430-nucleotide ribosomal RNA is filed under the name uncultured bacterium. Its description in RNAcentral is "bacterial SSU rRNA". It matches the Rfam family "Bacterial small subunit ribosomal RNA", at positions 30 to 455 of the family's 1533-position model. The record is from RNAcentral.
AUUGAACGCUGGCGGCAGGCCUAACACAUGCAAGUCGAGCGGUAGAGAGGUGCUUGCAUCUCUUGAGAGCGGCGGACGGGUGAGUAAUGCCUAGGAAUCUGCCUAGUGGUGGGGGAUAACGUUCGGAAACGGACGCUAAUACCGCAUACGUCCUACGGGAGAAAGCGGGGGAUCUUCGGACCUCGCGCCAUUAGAUGAGCCUAGGUCGGAUUAGCUAGUUGGUGAGGUAAUGGCUCACCAAGGCGACGAUCCGUAACUGGUCUGAGAGGAUGAUCAGUCACACUGGAACUGAGACACGGUCCAGACUCCUACGGGAGGCAGCAGUGGGGGAAUAUUGGACAAAUGGGCGAAAGACCUGAUCCAGCCAUGCCGCGUGUGUGAAGAAGGUCUUCGGGAUUGUUAAAGCACUUUAAGUUGGGUAGGAAGGGUA